RNAcentral lists this ribosomal RNA (893 nucleotides) under Teratosphaeria velox. RNAcentral's name for it is "LSU rRNA". It matches the Rfam family "Eukaryotic large subunit ribosomal RNA", at positions 38 to 963 of the family's 3401-position model. Lineage: Eukaryota; Fungi; Ascomycota; Dothideomycetes; Mycosphaerellales; Teratosphaeriaceae. The record is from RNAcentral.
GCAUAUCAAUAAGCGGAGGAAAAGAAACCAACAGGGAUUGCCCUAGUAACGGCGAGUGAAGCGGCAACAGCUCAAAUUUGAAAUCUGGCGUAAGCCCGAGUUGUAAUUUGUAGAGGAUGCUUCAGGGCAGCGGCCGGUCUAAGUCUCUUGGAACAGGGCGUCAUAGAGGGUGAGAAUCCCGUAUGCGACCGGCUGGCACCCGUCACGUAGCUCCUUCGACGAGUCGAGUUGUUUGGGAAUGCAGCUCUAAAUGGGAGGUAAAUUUCUUCUAAAGCUAAAUACCGGCCAGAGACCGAUAGCGCACAAGUAGAGUGAUCGAAAGAUGAAAAGCACUUUGGAAAGAGAGUUAAAAAGCACGUGAAAUUGUUGAAAGGGAAGCGCAUGCAACCAGACUUGUCGGCGGUGUUCCGCCGGUCUUCUGACCGGUCUACUCGCCGCCGGCAGGCCAGCAUCAUCUGGGCGCGCCGGACAAAGGCGCGGGGAAUGUGGCUCCUCGGAGUGUUAUAGCCCCGCGCACAAUACGGCGCCGCCCGGGUGAGGUCCGCGCUUCGGCUAGGAUGCUGGCGUAAUGGUUGUCUGCGGCCCGUCUUGAAACACGGACCAAGGAGUCUAACAUCUAUGCGAGUGUUCGGGUGUCAAACCCCUACGCGGAAUGAAAGUGAACGGAGGUGGGAAGCGCAAGCUGCACCAUCGACCGAUCCUGAUGUCUUCGGAUGGAUUUGAGUAAGAGCAUAGCUGUUGGGACCCGAAAGAUGGUGAACUAUGCCUGAAUAGGGUGAAGCCAGAGGAAACUCUGGUGGAGGCUCGCAGCGGUUCUGACGUGCAAAUCGAUCGUCAAAUUUGGGUAUAGGGGCGAAAGACUAAUCGAACCAUCUAGUAGCUGGUUCCUGCGA